Non-coding RNA from Desarmillaria ectypa, 93 nucleotides. Lineage: Eukaryota; Fungi; Basidiomycota; Agaricomycetes; Agaricales; Physalacriaceae. The record is from the annotation of a GenBank genome assembly.
GCAUCAGUGGUGUAAUGGUUAACAUGUGGUCUUCCCAUACGACCUGUUCACUGUAGUAUGGCCGCGUUCGGGGUUCGAUUCCCCGCUGAUGCA